CAGNUAAGAAUCUUCCGCAAUGGGCGAAAGCCUGACGGAGCGACGCCGCGUGAACGAAGAAGGCCGUGAGGUUGUAAAGUUCUUUUCGGGAGGGGGAACAACCGUGGCAGGGAAUGGCCGCGGGAUGACGUGAAUCCCGGAAUAAGCCCCGGCUAACUACGUGCCAGCAGCCGCGGUAACACGUAGGGGGCGAGCGUUGUUCGGAAUCAUUGGGCGUAAAGGGCGUGCAGGCGGUCCUGCAAGUCCGGCGUGAAAGACCCCGGCCCAACCGGGGGGACGCGCUGGAAACUGCGGGGCUUGAGUACAGGAGGGGAUGCCGGAAUUCCAGGUGUAGGGGUGAAAUCUGUAGAUAUCUGGAAGAACACCAAUGGCGAAGGCAGGCAUCUGGCCAUGUACUGACGCUGAGACGCGAAGGUGCGGGGAGCAAACAGGUUUAGAUACCCUGGUAGUCCGCACAGUAAACGAUGUGCACCAGGUGGCGGGGGGUCGACCCUCGGUACCGUAGCUAAC
RNAcentral lists this ribosomal RNA (510 nucleotides) under uncultured bacterium. RNAcentral's name for it is "bacterial SSU rRNA". It matches the Rfam family "Bacterial small subunit ribosomal RNA", at positions 352 to 856 of the family's 1533-position model. The record is from RNAcentral.